CCAAAGGCCCUCUUUAGGGCUACCAAAUUUAUUGUUUUGUAUUUAU
Parastrongyloides trichosuri is the source of this 46-nucleotide non-coding RNA. NCBI's taxonomy places the organism in Eukaryota, Metazoa, Nematoda, Chromadorea, Rhabditida, Strongyloididae. The record is from Rfam.